RNAcentral lists this transfer RNA (87 nucleotides) under Coniochaeta pulveracea. It matches the Rfam family "tRNA". From Rfam's summary of the family: Transfer RNA (tRNA) molecules are approximately 80 nucleotides in length. Their secondary structure includes four short double-helical elements and three loops (D, anti-codon, and T loops). Lineage: Eukaryota; Fungi; Ascomycota; Sordariomycetes; Coniochaetales; Coniochaetaceae. The record is from Rfam by way of RNAcentral.
GGGGAUGUAGCUCAUCUGGUAGAGCGCGUGCUUAGCAUCACUUCAUGUUCCUGCACGAGGUACUGGGUUCGACUCCCAGCUUCUCCA